GAUGGACGCUGGCGGCGUGCCUAAUACAUGCAAGUCGAGCGAACAGACGAGGAGCUUGCUCCUCUGACGUUAGCGGCGGACGGGUGAGUAACACGUGGAUAACCUACCUAUAAGACUGGGAUAACUUCGGGAAACCGGAGCUAAUACCGGAUAAUAUAUUGAACCGCAUGGUUCAAUAGUGAAAGACGGUUUUGCUGUCACUUAUAGAUGGAUCCGCGCCGCAUUAGCUAGUUGGUAAGGUAACGGCUUACCAAGGCAACGAUGCGUAGCCGACCUGAGAGGGUGAUCGGCCACACUGGAACUGAGACACGGUCCAGACUCCUACGGGAGGCAGCAGUAGGGAAUCUUCCGCCAUGGGCGAAAGCUUGACGGAGCAACGCCGCGUGAGUGAUGAAGGUCUUCGGAUCGUAAAACUCUGUUAUUAGGGAAGAACAAAUGUGUAAGUAACUAUGCACGUCUUGACGGUACCUAAUCAGAAAGCCACGGCUAACUACGUG
RNAcentral lists this ribosomal RNA (497 nucleotides) under uncultured bacterium. Its description in RNAcentral is "partial 16S ribosomal RNA". It matches the Rfam family "Bacterial small subunit ribosomal RNA", at positions 28 to 507 of the family's 1533-position model. The record is from RNAcentral.